This 350-nucleotide unclassified non-coding RNA is filed under the name soil metagenome. RNAcentral's name for it is "partial contains 5.8S ribosomal RNA, internal transcribed spacer 2, and large subunit ribosomal RNA". The stretch from base 1 to 120 matches the Rfam family "5.8S ribosomal RNA", at positions 35 to 154 of the family's 154-position model. The record is from RNAcentral.
GAUGAAGAACGCAGCGAACUGCGAUAAGUAAUGUGAAUUGCAGAAUUCAGUGAAUCAUCGAGUCUUUGAACGCACAUUGCGCCCCCUGGCAUUCCGGGGGGCAUGCCUGUCCGAGCGUCAUUGCUGCCCUUCAAGCCCGGCUUGUGUGUUGGGUCGUCGUCCCCCCCGGGGGACGGGCCCGAAAGGCAGCGGCGGCACCGCGUCCGGUCCUCGAGCGUAUGGGGCUUUGUCACCCGCUCGAUUAGGGCCGGCCGGGCGCAAGCCGGCGUCUCCAACCUUCUAUUUUACCAGGUUGACCUCGGAUCAGGUAGGGAUACCCGCUGAACUUAAGCAUAUCAAUAAGCGGAGGA